AACCCAUUGCCUCUGAGAACGGUGGAAAAACAAUUAUGCCACAGUGGUGAAGAAUCAAGUGAAUUCUCAGGAGCUCCACAAUUAUGGUCUUUGAUGGGACUGAAAAUUCCGUGCUCUAAAUUUCUUUCAUCUAUCAUGUAAAACCAUUCUAUCCAAAGGCUUUGACUGCUAUUUUAGAAUAGGACAGUCCCAAAUUGAAG
Molecule: long non-coding RNA, 200 nt
Organism: Balaenoptera acutorostrata (minke whale)
Lineage: Eukaryota; Metazoa; Chordata; Mammalia; Artiodactyla; Balaenopteridae
Exons: 3
Source: RefSeq, a predicted model, not a curated record